AAAUGUUUUUUGAAGCGUUUGAUUGUACUGCUGAAGAGAUUCUUAAUAGGUGAUGUUGAGUUCAAGGCAAAAUUACAGAUUACAUAACUAUGAUGCAUUACUAAAAUACCUAGCUUUAUCAAGUGCAAAAUUUCACAACAACUGCUACAUAUAGAUGUCAACUUUGAUUUAUUGUUCUGAACAAGUUAACUAUAUAUAUAUAUAUAUAUAUACACACACACACACACCCCAUCAAAAUGCAAUAACUGUGAAAUUUUAUUUUAUAAUAGAUAUCAUGUUAAAGCAUAUAUCUCCAGAAAAUUAGUUUUUUGCUAAUGAUUUAGAUUACUUGUUUGUUGUUUUUAUUUUAAAUACAAUCAACAAUCCUGAGCAAAAAUUAUUGCUCACAAAAAAGAAAUUUUAAAAAUAUUGUCUUACUACAAUAGAUGUUUAAAAUAAAAUAAAAAAGAAAACAAAAUACUUCUAAUGUUUGCUGAGAUUUUUGUAAUUAAAUAAAAAUUCAAGCCGCACCAUAUUUUGUAUUCACUGUUAAAUACAAGUCAUGAGAAUAAUUGCAAAUCAUGGUUUAUUUUCUAUGUUCUUUUGAAGUGUUAUAGAAACUUCAAAAAUUAUGAAUAUGAUGAUUCCUGUGUUAAAAUAAAUAAUCUUCUUUAGAAAUACAUUUGAAACCAUCUUUUACAUGUGUUGCUGAAAAAUGGCUUUUGACAUUGAGGUUAAUGCGUUUUAAUUAUCCUAAGAAGUUUUUCAACAACAACAAGUCAAUUUUAUUAUUCAACAAUGUCAAAUAACAGUGAUGUUUAUACUUUAAACUUAACUAUGCAUUUCUAUAAAAAUAUAGAAGCGAUGCUUUAAUGAUUUUUUAUUUUUAUUUUUUAUUUUUUUGCAUGCCAAUCACACUGAAUAGAAUUAUUUUAAUCAUGCAGUUUUGAUUUAUUUUAUGUUUCAAAUCAAAGAUGAACAAAUUGUAUAGAAUGAUUUAUACUAUUUCUAUUAAAAACAAUAGCAAAAUACUGCCAGUAAUAUUUCAUGUCACCUAUGAAUUCAAUAUAAUAAGUUAUAAUUUAAUGUGUUUUGUUUUGUAUUUUACAAAGCAUAUGCUUGCAUGUCAAAUAAUUUGUAUCAUCCUUGCAAUUGAUCAGAGGCAUCAAUUACAUCUUUUGUUUAAAAUUUAAAAAGUACAAAAUAAUUCCAAUUUUGAAUCAGAUGUUGUUUGUAUGUGUAUUUGAAUUUUGUACUCAUCUGCAGAAGAACCUCUUGGAAGAGUAUUGUAGAUAAGAUAUAAAG
Molecule: long non-coding RNA, 1284 nt
Filed under: Physcomitrium patens
Lineage: Eukaryota; Viridiplantae; Streptophyta; Bryopsida; Funariales; Funariaceae
Description: long non-coding RNA (PPAT_LNC007246)
Source: RNAcentral